AUGGUCAACAAUGCCGGCAUUACAGGCGAUAAGGUCACCGAUAUGCGGAACCUCGAAUUUGCCAAUGUCAAGAAGGUGUUGGACAUCAACGUGCACGGCAUGCUGCUGGGCAUGAAGCACACGGCGUGCGACAUGAUCCAGGGCAAGAAGGGGGCCAUCGUGUCACUGGCGAGCGUCGCCAGCGUCCUCGGAGGGAUGGGGCCUCACGCGUACAUCACGUCAAAGCAUGUGGUGGUGGGCCUCACCAAGAGCGUGGCACUGGAGCUGGGGAGGCAUGGCAUUCGGGUGAACUGCGUAUCGCUGUACGCCGUGCCCACCGCGCUCUCCAUGCCACAUUUUCCCCAGGGGGAACACAAGGGGGAUGCAGUGAGGGACUUCCUGGCCUUUGUUGGUGGUGAGGCAAACCUGAAAGGUGUUGAUCUGCUGCCGAAGGAUGUCGCCGAGGCGCCGAGGCGGUGCUCUAGCUGGCAAGCGAGGUACAUCAGCGCGCUCAACCUCGUGGUCGACGGUGGAUUUACAUCUGUGAAUGGAAACCUGAAAGCAUUUGAGGACUAG
Molecule: ribosomal RNA, 555 nt
Filed under: Triticum aestivum (bread wheat)
Lineage: Eukaryota; Viridiplantae; Streptophyta; Magnoliopsida; Poales; Poaceae
Description: partial small subunit ribosomal RNA
Source: RNAcentral